CACCGCCCCUUCAGCCUGUGGGGGCGCCGCGGGGGAGCGGCCCCCGCAGGGUCACUCGUGUGCCACACAUUUCCUGUCGCUCACUGACGGCCAGGGAUCGAACUCGGGUCCUUGUGCUUUCGAGGCAGGCACCGGAACCGCUGAGCUAAAUCCCCAGCCCUGCUGCUCCUGAUUCUACAGCGACCCAUGGACCUUGUGCUCUCAAGGCAGAUGUGGCACCAGUGAGCUGAAUCCCCAGCCCAUGAGGCUGUUUUGAUGGGCAACAACAAAAAGGGACGCCCUGACCACAGAGUAUAACCCGGCCCAGGGUCCACAGUGCUGGUGUGGAUGAGCCCUGCUCUAGGAGUAUGGAGGAAAGGACAAGGCAGCAAAAGAGAAGAAAGGAUUCAGGAACACCAGAGGAAGAAGUAAAAGAUUUAAAGCACUUGACAGAGACAUUUUAAUUAAAUUCGUCUUGGAAAAGAAAAAUCCCAAAGACUUAGUAUAAAUUUUUUCAUUUGACUAACAGUCUAUAUAAAUACAUAUUAGAAAAAGAUUUAAAAAUUAAAAUGACAGUCUUAUCCUGUCACUUGCUUCCUCCUAAUGUUCUGGGAUAAAAUACUGUUUUAUUCUAGUGUUUCUUUUGAUCCAGAAUGACUUAAUUGUUACUUCAAAGAUAAUUACAAGCUAUUUCAUGCUUCCCUUUUUGUAAUGCCUUUAACAGAUGCUUCUACAUACUAGUAUUUCUACAUACCUUCUAUUUAUGGUGAGAAGGAAGUAUUUAUUGUUUGAUAUAUUUUAUUUAGUUCUUCAGCUAUUAGCAACUGGACUAUCUCCAGUUUUUCACAAUCAUGAACAACCCACGCAUAGCCUGUAACAAAGACUGUCCACUUGAAUCAACACUUUUGCUAACAUGGCCGUUCUGUGGUCUUUGGUAACUGGUUUUUAACCAGUGCCCUUCAGCUCCUGGUACAAAAUACUCUUUCAAUUUAAGCCAAGUAGUAACCCAUAAAAGACAUACCAUGGACCUGCCAAACAGAUCACUGUUAAUCCAGGAAGAUAAAACUAGGUUGCUGUUGGACCUCUACGACCAGUUGCUUGUGACUCCAGGCAUAGCUACUUUAUUUCAAAGGCUGAAAACUACUUGCCAUUCUUGGGGGGUCACAUAAAACUAGGAUAUAGUCUGGUACUAUAUGUUAGGUGCUCAAAUAGAUAUUGGUGGAAGGAGCUAGUUUCAUUAUGGAUAGAUAUAAAUUAUGAAAUUCAGUUUUGUACAAU
This is a long non-coding RNA of Heterocephalus glaber (naked mole-rat), 1257 nucleotides long. RefSeq lists it as uncharacterized. NCBI's taxonomy places the organism in Eukaryota, Metazoa, Chordata, Mammalia, Rodentia, Bathyergidae. The record is from RefSeq and is a predicted model, not a curated record.